GACCACGUAGCUCAGUUGGCAGAGCAUUGGGCUAGCAUUCCAAAGGUCGUAGGUUCGAUUCCCACCGUGGUCA
RNAcentral lists this transfer RNA (73 nucleotides) under Paramuricea clavata. It matches the Rfam family "tRNA". Rfam says of the family: Transfer RNA (tRNA) molecules are approximately 80 nucleotides in length. Their secondary structure includes four short double-helical elements and three loops (D, anti-codon, and T loops). The record is from Rfam by way of RNAcentral. Lineage: Eukaryota; Metazoa; Cnidaria; Anthozoa; Malacalcyonacea; Plexauridae.